Molecule: ribosomal RNA, 243 nt
Filed under: uncultured bacterium
Lineage: Bacteria
Description: partial 16S ribosomal RNA
Rfam family: Bacterial small subunit ribosomal RNA
Source: RNAcentral
UACGAAGGGGGCGAGCGUUGUUCGGAUUUACUGGGCGUAAAGGGCGCGUAGGCGGCCUUCUAAGUCGAACGUGAAAUCCCCGGGCUCAACCUGGGAAUUGCGAUGGAGACUGCAAGGCUAGAAUCUGGCAGAGGGGGGUAGAAUUCCACGUGUAGCAGUGAAAUGCGUAGAGAUGUGGAGGAACACCGAUGGCGAAGGCAGCCCCCUGGGUCAAGAUUGACGCUCAUGCACGAAAGGCGUGGG